RNAcentral lists this long non-coding RNA (262 nucleotides) under Phoenix dactylifera (date palm). RNAcentral's name for it is "long non-coding RNA (PDAC_LNC001431)". The record is from RNAcentral. Lineage: Eukaryota; Viridiplantae; Streptophyta; Magnoliopsida; Arecales; Arecaceae.
ACCGGUGGAAACGGUGUCCAGAAACCACUAUUCUAAUCACCGGUGGCGCGGUGUCGAAACCGGUUCCUCACAGAUUACAAGUCGACAGGUCCAACGUAUAAUCCCCAUUGGCGGGGCCAGAACAGAACAGAACAGAUCAUAGCCAUGCUGAGAAUACAUAUAUAUAAAAACAUAUUUCAUAAAUUUUCCAGUCAUAGUUUACGGAUUUCAGAGCAUAAUUUUCAAAUGAAAUUUAACAUGCCAGACCCAUUUUACUAAAUAC